CCUACGGGUGGCAGCAGUAGGGAAUAUUGCUCAAUGGGGGAAACCCUGAAGCAGCAACGCCGCGUGGAGGAUGAAGGUUUUCGGAUUGUAAACUACUGUCCCCAGGGACGAAGAUGACGGUACCUGGGGAGGAAGCUCCGGCUAACUACGUGCCAGCAGCCGCGGUAAUACGUAGGGAGCGAGCGUUGUCCGGAAUUACUGGGUGUAAAGGGAGCGUAGGCGGGGAUGCAAGUUGGGUGUCAAAUCUACCGGCUCAACUGGUAGUCGCACUCAAAACUGCAGCUCUUGAGUGAAGUAGAGGCAGGCGGAAUUCCUAGUGUAGCGGUGAAAUGCGUAGAUAUUAGGAGGAACACCAGUGGCGAAGGCGGCCUGCUGGGCUUUUACUGACGCUGAGGCUCGAAAGUGUGGGGAGCAAACAGGAUUAGAUACCCUGGUAGUC
This 439-nucleotide ribosomal RNA is filed under the name uncultured bacterium. RNAcentral describes it as "partial 16S ribosomal RNA". It matches the Rfam family "Bacterial small subunit ribosomal RNA", at positions 338 to 795 of the family's 1533-position model. The record is from RNAcentral.